AGSGGSAKCUAUACAUGCAGUCGAGCGGACAGAAGGGAGCUUGCUCCCGGAUGUUAGCGGCGGACGGGUGAGUAACACGUGGGUAACCUGCCUGUAAGACUGGGAUAACUCCGGGAAACCGGAGCUAAUACCGGAUAGUUCCUUGAACCGCAUGGUUCAAGGAUGAAAGACGGUUUCGGCUGUCACUUACAGAUGGACCCGCGGCGCAUUAGCUAGUUGGUGGGGUAAUGGCUCACCAAGGCGACGAUGCGUAGCCGACCUGAGAGGGUGAUCGGCCACACUGGGACUGAGACACGGCCCAGACUCCUACGGGAGGCAGCAGUAGGGAAUCUUCCGCAAUGGACGAAAGUCUGACGGAGCAACGCCGCGUGAGUGAUGAAGGUUUUCGGAUCGUAAAGCUCUGUUGUUAGGGAAGAACAAGUGCGAGAGUAACUGCUCGCACCUUGACGGUACCUAACCAGAAAGCCACGGCUAACUACGUGCCAGCAGCCGCGGUAAUACGUAGGUGGCAAGCGUUGUCCGGAAUUAUUGGGCGUAAAGGGCUCGCAGGCGGUUUCUUAAGUCUGAUGUGAAAGCCCCCGGCUCAACCGGGGAGGGUCAUUGGAAACUGGGAAACUUGAGUGCAGAAGAGGAGAGUGGAAUUCCACGUGUAGCGGUGAAAUGCGUAGAGAUGUGGAGGAACACCAGUGGCGAAAGCGACUCUCUGGUCUGUAACUGACGCUGAGGAGCGAAGCGUGGGGAGCGAACAGGAUUAGAUACYCUGGUAGUCCACGCCGUAACGAUGAGUGCUAGUGUAGGGGUUUCCGCCCCUUAGUGCUGCAGCUACGCAUAGCACUCGCUGGGGAGUACGGUCGCAGACUGAACUCAAGAUGACGGGGCCGCMCAGCGUGGAGCAUGUGCUAUCGAAGCACSGAGACUACCAGGUCUGACUCUCUGACMACCCUARAGAWAGGGCCU
This 957-nucleotide ribosomal RNA is filed under the name Bacillus sp. MBIR2.24. RNAcentral's name for it is "bacterial SSU rRNA". It matches the Rfam family "Bacterial small subunit ribosomal RNA", at positions 41 to 1014 of the family's 1533-position model. The record is from RNAcentral. Lineage: Bacteria; Bacillati; Bacillota; Bacilli; Caryophanales; Bacillaceae.